Molecule: long non-coding RNA, 1033 nt
Filed under: Fragaria vesca (wild strawberry)
Lineage: Eukaryota; Viridiplantae; Streptophyta; Magnoliopsida; Rosales; Rosaceae
Description: long non-coding RNA (FVES_LNC004391)
Source: RNAcentral
UUGAUUUCUCAAUACUGCUAGCUGAAGUGUUCACGUAGGUCAAAUAGCUUCUAUAGCUCAAUCCAAUAGUAAUCAACGGAGAUAGAGUCCAGCGGUUCAACCAACGCUUCUAAGGGGAGCGGGGCAAGCAAAGCAAGAAAGCAGGCAAAGUCAUUGAGCCUAUUCUAUUCCGAAAGUUCCACACAUGGAAUGUCGUCGGCAUUCUUCUCCUACUCGCUACAAUUGCUUUAGCGCGAGCAGGGAAGGAAAGGGCGGAAAUCUCCCUAUCUGAUCCAGGUGCAGAUCAAGAAGGAUCUGUAAACCUUUCUUCUUCCUUAUAGUGUGCAAACACGAGCAAGCUGCUAAGUGAUAAAAGAAGAAGAACUCAUCUGCCCUUCUGGUAUAGAUCGGGAAUUCCUACUUAAAGAGAAACAGAGGCUCGUUUAACGAGCUGGAGCCUAUCUUACUAAUGGCCAAAGAGUAGGCGAUUGAAAGACCGGUAUGCUCUAAAAAGAAAGUACAAGGAUAAGCUUGCAUUCUAGAAGCGGUAGCUUCCGAAGGAUAUAGGUAGAGUGGAAGCCUUCAGCCUUUCUAUUUCUUACUAUAGGUAUAGGCCAAAACGUACACGAGUAAGAGGAAAUACGACCUCUUUUAGGCGGGAUAGGUUAUUUAGGAUCCCUACUCUUUCUUUUUAUUUUCCCUUGUCGAAGUAGAAAGAUAGUUCUUACUGAAGUACAAACAGCUCACCUCUGCUCUCUCGCGACUAUGGCAGGGCGGUACACUAGAUAAAGCUAAAAACCCAAAAUUUAUUCUUCCCCCUAGAUUAAACUUGAUCAUCUUCCUAUAUCCACAUUACUUGAUACCAUAGCACAAAGCCACAAACGAUCGCCAUGCACUUGAUCACUUACACAAGCAGUAUAAGCUUCCCUCCAUAGACUACAAUGUCCAUUAAGCCCUCAUUGCACCCCCAAGACUUCACAUAAUAUGGCACCCAUUUGGAUUUUCAUCACUGAACAAGGCGAAGGUAUCGGAAUCGUCGGAAUAGUAGGGAUGU